This 462-nucleotide ribosomal RNA is filed under the name uncultured bacterium. Its description in RNAcentral is "partial 16S ribosomal RNA". It matches the Rfam family "Bacterial small subunit ribosomal RNA", at positions 28 to 507 of the family's 1533-position model. The record is from RNAcentral.
GAUGAACGCUGACAGAAUGCUUAACACAUGCAAGUCAUUGGCGAAGCUGCGCUUGCGCAGUCUAGCCAAGGCGGACGGGUGAGUAACGCGUAAGGAACUUGCCCUGCAGACAGGGAUAACAGACGGAAACGACUGAUAACACCUGGUAUUGUCAGGCUGGCGCAUGCCGGCCUGAUGAAAGGAGACGCUGCAGGAGAGCCUUGCGUCCUAUUAGCUAGUUGGUGGGGUAACGGCCCACCAAGGCGAUGAUAGGUAGCCGGCCUGAGAGGGUGAACGGCCACAAGGGGACUGAGAUACGGCCCUUACUUCUACGGGAGGCAGCAGUGGGGAAUAGUGGACAAUGGGGGCAACCCUGAUCCAGCAAUUCUGUGUGCACGAAGAAGGUUUUCGGAUUGUAAAGUGCUUUCAGCAGGGAAGAAGAAAGUGACGGUACCUGCAGAAGAAGCGACGGCUAAAUACGUG